GCCGGCGUAGCUCAGUCGGUAGAGCAACGCAUUCGUAAUGCGUGGGUCGGGGGUUCGAAUCCCUCCGCCGGCACCA
This 76-nucleotide transfer RNA is filed under the name Nevskia sp. RNAcentral describes it as "tRNA-Thr". It matches the Rfam family "tRNA". From Rfam's summary of the family: Transfer RNA (tRNA) molecules are approximately 80 nucleotides in length. Lineage: Bacteria; Pseudomonadati; Pseudomonadota; Gammaproteobacteria; Nevskiales; Nevskiaceae. RNAcentral also lists the same sequence under 1 other name. The record is from RNAcentral.